RNAcentral lists this ribosomal RNA (1046 nucleotides) under uncultured bacterium. RNAcentral describes it as "bacterial SSU rRNA". It matches the Rfam family "Bacterial small subunit ribosomal RNA", at positions 82 to 1100 of the family's 1533-position model. The record is from RNAcentral.
UCGGGCGAGUAAAGCGGCGAAAGGGUGAGUAACACGUAAUCAACGUACCCCCCAGACCGGGAUAACCUCUAGAAAUGGUGGAUAAUACCGGAUGGACUUAUGACUAGGCAUCUAGUCAAUAGUAAACGGUGGCUUAGGCUGCUGCUGGGGGAGCGGGUUGCGGCCUAUCAGCUUGUUGGUGCGGUAAUGGCGCACCAAGGCAUUGACGGGUAGCGGGUCUGAGAGGAUGAUCCGUCACACUGGGACUGAGACACUGCCCAGACUCUUACGGGAGGCUGCAGUCGAGAAUCUUCCACAAUGGGCGAAAGCCUGAUGGAGCGACGCUGCGUGUAGGAUGAAGGCCCUAGGGUUGUAAACUACUGUCACGCCAUAGGAACCCGUAGUCGUUAAUAGCGGCUGCGCUGACCAAAGCGAAAGGAAGUGCCGGCUAACUCCGUGCCAGCAGCCGCGGUAAUACGGAGGGCGCAAGCGUUGUUCGGAAUCACUGGGCAUAAAGAGCAUGUAGGCGGUCUAUUAAGUCGGAUGUGAAAGCCCUCGGCCCAACCGGGGAAUUGCAUUCGAUACUGAUAGACUUGAGGACAGGAGGGGUGAGUGGAACUUCAGGUGGAACGGUGAAAUGUGUAGAUAUCUGAAGGAACACCGGUGGCGAAAGCGGCUCACUGGCCUGUCUCUGACGCUGAGAUGCGAAAGCUAGGGUAGCGAACGGGAUUAGAUACCCCGGUAGUCCUAGCCGUAAACGAUGGGUACUAGGUAGUGGGUUUUCCCUAUGGGGCUCAUUGCCGUAGCUAAUGUAUUAAGUACCCCCGCCUGGGGAGUACGCUCGCAAGGGUAAAACUCAAAGGAAUUGACGGGGGAUCACACAAGCGGUGGGAGCAUGUGGUUUAAAUUCGAAGCAACGCGAAGAACCUUACCUGGCCUUGACAUACAUGGGAUUAGCUCUGUGAAAGCAGAGUGACAGCUCUUCGGAGUUGGAACAUGAACAGGUGUUGCAUGGCUGUCGUCAGCUCGUGUCGUGAGAUGUUGGGUUAAGUCCCGUAACGAGCGAA